This 79-nucleotide microRNA precursor is filed under the name Haemonchus placei. Its description in RNAcentral is "mir-5890 microRNA precursor family". It matches the Rfam family "mir-5890 microRNA precursor family". The record is from Rfam by way of RNAcentral. Lineage: Eukaryota; Metazoa; Nematoda; Chromadorea; Rhabditida; Trichostrongylidae.
AUUGUGCGGCAGUAUAGGACUGAAACUGUGGGAAGACUUACAUGAUUCUACCCCUUUUCAUUUUCAUGCUGCUUUGGAG